ACAGGGGUGCCUUCGGGCUGAGAAACACCCUUAUGACCUGAUCUAGUUAAUACUAGCGUAGGGAGUCAGAU
RNAcentral lists this non-coding RNA (71 nucleotides) under human gut metagenome. Its description in RNAcentral is "TPP riboswitch (THI element)". It matches the Rfam family "TPP riboswitch aptamer (THI element)", at positions 9 to 90 of the family's 105-position model. Rfam says of the family: Vitamin B(1) in its active form thiamin pyrophosphate (TPP) is an essential coenzyme that is synthesised by coupling of pyrimidine and thiazole moieties in bacteria. The record is from RNAcentral.